Molecule: ribosomal RNA, 475 nt
Filed under: uncultured bacterium
Lineage: Bacteria
Description: partial 16S ribosomal RNA
Rfam family: Bacterial small subunit ribosomal RNA
Source: RNAcentral
UUGAACGCUGGCGGCAUGCCUUACACCUGCAAGUCGAACGGUAACAGGUUAAGCUGCCGCGUGGCGAACGGGUGAGUAAUGUAUCGGAACGUGCCCAGUCGUGGGGGAUAACUGCUCGAAAGAGCAGCUAAUACCGCAUACGACCUGAGGGUGAAAGCGGGGGAUCGCAAGACCUCGCGCGAUUGGAGCGGCCGAUAUCAGAUUAGGUAGUUGGUGAGGUAAAGGCUCACCAAGCCGACGAUCUGUAGCUGGUCUGAGAGGACGACCAGCCACACUGGGACUGAGACACGGCCCAGACUCCUACGGGAGGCAGCAGUGGGGAAUUUUGGACAAUGGGCGCAAGCCUGAUCCAGCCAUGCCGCGUGCGGGAAGAAGGCCUUCGGGUUGUAAACCGCUUUUGUCAGGGAAGAAAAGGUUCUGGCUAAUACCUGGGACUCAUGACGGUACCUGAAGAAUAAGCACCGGCUAACUACGU